CACUAUCUGAAGACCCGCCCAUAAAUUCUGUCUGAGUUGUGAACGAGCGCCAUUGUAGAUAGUAUCAUGGAGAGAAGAUACGAAGAGGUGAUCGCUUUCCUCACUACAAAUGUGUACCCAACACAAUAUAAUACAACUGAACGUCAAAACUUGAGGUGAUACUCUUCGGAGUCACAGACAGGACGAUGGGAAGUCGCUCCUAGAGGAGGAGAGAGAAGACUGCAAACCCUGCUGACAAACUCCAGCUGGCCCAGGACGAAGCCACGGCAUAAAGCUUGUUUUAUUUCCAAUUAGUAAUGGACAGGUUCUUAAAAUUUAUAAUUCU
Sinocyclocheilus rhinocerous is the source of this 325-nucleotide long non-coding RNA. RefSeq lists it as uncharacterized. The transcript is spliced from 3 exons. Lineage: Eukaryota; Metazoa; Chordata; Actinopteri; Cypriniformes; Cyprinidae. The record is from RefSeq and is a predicted model, not a curated record.